RNAcentral lists this non-coding RNA (30 nucleotides) under Homo sapiens (human). Lineage: Eukaryota; Metazoa; Chordata; Mammalia; Primates; Hominidae. The record is from RNAcentral.
GCUCAAAGCAGGGAGUAAGGUGUGAUUGCA